This 492-nucleotide ribosomal RNA is filed under the name uncultured bacterium. RNAcentral describes it as "partial 16S ribosomal RNA". It matches the Rfam family "Bacterial small subunit ribosomal RNA", at positions 29 to 507 of the family's 1533-position model. The record is from RNAcentral.
AGUGAACGCUGGCGGUAGGCCUAACACAUGCAAGUCGAACGGCAGCACAGUAAGCGCUUGCUCUUACGGGUGGCGAGUGGCGGACGGGUGAGGAAUACAUCGGAAUCUACUUUUUCGUGGGGGAUAACGUAGGGAAACUUACGCUAAUACUGCAUACGACCUACGGGUGAAAGCAGGGGAUCUUCGGACCUUGCGCGAUUGAUUGAGCUGAUGUCGGAUUAGCUAGUUGGCGGGGGAAAGGCCCACCAAGGCGACGAUCCGUAGCUGGUCUGAGAGGAUGAUCAGACACACUGGAACUGAGACACGGUCCAGACACCUACGGGAGGCAGCAGUGGGGAAUAUUGGGCAAUGGGCGCAAGCCUGAUCCAGCCAUACCGCGUGGGUGAAGAAGGCCUUCGGGUUGUAAAGCCCUUUUGUUGGGAAAGAAAAGCAGCAGGUUAAUACGCCGCUAUUCUGACGGUACCCAAAGAAUAAGCACCGGCUAACUUCGUG